Molecule: ribosomal RNA, 496 nt
Filed under: uncultured bacterium
Lineage: Bacteria
Description: partial 16S ribosomal RNA
Rfam family: Bacterial small subunit ribosomal RNA
Source: RNAcentral
AUUGAACGCUGGCGGAAUGCUUUACACAUGCAAGUCGAACGGUAGAGGGGGCAACCCCUCGAGAGUGGCGAACGGGUGAGUAAUAUAUCGGAACGUGCCCAGUCGUGGGGGAUAACGUAGCGAAAGUUACGCUAAUACCGCAUACGAUCCAAGGAUGAAAGCGGGGGAUCGCAAGAACUCGCGCGAUUGGAGCGGCCGAUAUCAGAUUAGGUAGUUGGUGGGGUAAAGGCUCACCAAGCCAACGAUCUGUAGCUGGUCUGAGAGGACGACCAGCCACACUGGAACUGAGACACGGUCCAGACUCCUACGGGAGGCAGCAGUGGGGAAUUUUGGACAAUGGACGCAAGUCUGAUCCAGCCAUUCCGCGUGCAGGAUGAAGGCCCUCGGGUUGUAAACUGCUUUUGUACGGAACGAAAAGGUCUCUCUUAAUACGGGGGGCUCAUGACGGUACCGUAAGAAUAAGCACCGGCUAACUACGUGCCAGCAGCCGCCGUAA